RNAcentral lists this ribosomal RNA (468 nucleotides) under uncultured bacterium. RNAcentral's name for it is "partial 16S ribosomal RNA". It matches the Rfam family "Bacterial small subunit ribosomal RNA", at positions 28 to 507 of the family's 1533-position model. The record is from RNAcentral.
GACGAACGCUGGCGGCGUGCUUAACACAUGCAAGUCGAACGGAAAGGCCCUGCUUUUGUGGGGUGCUCGAGUGGCGAACGGGUGAGUAACACGUGAGUAACCUGCCCUUGACUUUGGGAUAACUUCAGGAAGCUGGGGCUAAUACCGGAUAGGAGCUCCUGCUGCAUGGUGGGGGUUGGAAAGUUUCGGCGGUUGGGGAUGGACUCGCGGCUUAUCAGCUUGUUGGUGGGGUAGUGGCUUACCAAGGCUUUGACGGGUAGCCGGCCUGAGAGGGUGACCGGCCACAUUGGGACUGAGAUACGGCCCAGACUCCUACGGGAGGCAGCAGUGGGGAAUAUUGCACAAUGGGCGGAAGCCUGAUGCAGCAAAGCCGCGUGCGGGAUGACGGCCUUCGGGUUGUAAACCGCUUUCGCCUGUGACGAAGCGUGAGUGACGGUAAUGGGUAAAGAAGCACCGGCUAACUACGUG